Molecule: ribosomal RNA, 412 nt
Filed under: uncultured prokaryote
Description: bacterial SSU rRNA
Rfam family: Bacterial small subunit ribosomal RNA
Source: RNAcentral
GUGUCAGCAGCCGCGGUAAUACGGGGGGAGCGAGCGUUGUCCGGAAUCACUGGGCGUAAAGGGUGUGUAGGCGUCCCGGUAAGUCUCUGGUGAAAGCCUUCCGCUCAACGGAAGAAUUGCCAGAGAUACUGUCGGGAUUGAGUACGGGAGAGGAGAGUGGAAUUCCCGGUGUAGAGGUGAAAUUCGUAGAUAUCAGGAAGAACGCCAGAGGCGAAGGCGGCUCCCUAGCCCGGUACUGACGCUGAGGCACGAAAGCGUGGGGAGCGAACGGGAUUAGAUACCCCGGUAGUCCACGCCCUAAACGAUGGAUGCUAGGUGUUGGAUCCGAGAGGAUUCAGCGCCGAAGCUAACGCGUUAAGCAUCCCGCCUGGGGACUACGGCCGCAAGGCUGAAACUUAAAGAAUUGACGGGG